RNAcentral lists this non-coding RNA (32 nucleotides) under Rattus norvegicus (Norway rat). Lineage: Eukaryota; Metazoa; Chordata; Mammalia; Rodentia; Muridae. The record is from RNAcentral.
UGCAAUUUACUGAUUGUGUAGGUCUUCAAGCU